Molecule: ribosomal RNA, 484 nt
Filed under: uncultured bacterium
Lineage: Bacteria
Description: partial 16S ribosomal RNA
Rfam family: Bacterial small subunit ribosomal RNA
Source: RNAcentral
AUUGAACGCUGGCGGCAGGCCUAACACAUGCAAGUCGAGCGGAUGAAGGGAGCUUGCUCCUGGAUUCAGCGGCGGACGGGUGAGUAAUGCCUAGGAAUCUGCCUGGUAGUGGGGGAUAACGUACGGAACUGGGCCCUAAUACCGCUAACGUCUCGAGGGAGAAAGUGGGGGAUCUUCGGCUCCCACGCUAUCAGAUGAGCCUAGGUCCGAUUAGCUAGUUGGUGGGGUAAAGGCCUACCAAGGCGACGAUCCGUAACCGGUCUGAGAGGAUGAACAGUCACAGAGGAACUGAGACGCGGUACAGAGACUUAGGGAAGGCAGAGGUGGGGAAUAGCGGAAGAUGGGCGAAAGCCUGAUCCAGCCAUGCCGGGUGUAUGAAGAAGGUCUGCGGAUGGGAUAACGCUUUAAGUGGUGAGGAAGGGUAUUAAGUGAAAAGCUUCCUGUUUUGACGUUACCAGCAGAAUAAGCACCGGCUAACUACGUG